CGCGUAGGCGGCGGACCUUGUCGAGUGUGAAAGCCCCGGGCUCAACCUGGGAGGUGCGCUCGAGACGGGUUUGCUGGAGUUCGGGGGAGGAGAGUGGAAUUCCCAGUGUAGAGGUGAAAUUCGUAGAUAUUGGGAAGAACACCGGUGGCGAAGGCGGCUCUCUGGACCGAGACUGACGCUGAGGCGCGAAAGCGUGGGGAGCAAACAGGAUUAGAUACCCUGGUAGUCCACGCUGUAAACGAUGUGUGCUAGACGUUGGGGAGCGUAGCUCUUCGGUGUCGCCGCAAACGCUUUAAGCACACCGCCUGGGGAGUACGGCCGCAAGGUUAAA
RNAcentral lists this ribosomal RNA (331 nucleotides) under uncultured bacterium. Its description in RNAcentral is "bacterial SSU rRNA". It matches the Rfam family "Bacterial small subunit ribosomal RNA", at positions 568 to 898 of the family's 1533-position model. The record is from RNAcentral.